CUACCACCUGAUCACAAAUAAUAUUCAGUGCAUACACCAACAUACAAGUAAGAUUAAGAACAAAUACGCACUAAAGCGCCCCAAACCCGACAUUCAAGCCUCUACCGUUUGCGCUACCGAUCAAGACAGCAGUACCGACUCUUCUCUUUUUCAUAUACUUCAGAAUACUCAUCCAAAAAUUACCACAAUUUAUCAGACCAUGUAAAACUCUGUUAUGUACAACUUUUGUAUUGAAAGGUUUUGCAUCAGAGGUCCGUAAGAUGGUAUAAUUAACCAUAGAACACAACUGAAUAUUUCUGACAUUCAAAACAGAACAUCAAACUUCAAAAAUUCAUAACUGGAGAUAUACUUAUUCAAAAGUUACAAACUUUACCAAUCUAGAAAGCUUAACAAAAAUUCUAAAACCUUUGUUAAUAAUCAAAGACCUAAUUAUUUCAUUAACAGGGUCAAAAACUGCUUAGAUCCAAAACUGUCCAGAUUUUCGUCACUGGAAAACAGUCAGAUUGAAAACUCGAUAUCUCACAAAUUAUAAUUGCUAUGACAGAGUUCUUGGUGUCCAAAGAAAGACAUUGAAGUCCUCUACAACUUUGUCCACAGGCUCAAAAAUUAUUAAAGCUUCUAAAAUGCCCUAACAUUACGAUGAACAGGGACUGCUCAGUCUGACGAGAAUUUCAGAACAAGAACGAAAUUGACUUCGAUAAUUUCUCAACUAAACCCAAUCCCAAAUAAGCGAUUUAAUCCGCAAAACUUGAUCAGAUAAAGGGGAUUAAUAUUUGGCUUCUCACCUAGAGAACCACAGCGAGCACGACGCAAAAACUCCCGGCGUCUACUCCUUCUUCUCCGCCUCUUCACCUUUCCAUCAUCUCUGAUCCAACUCACCACGAUCCUUGCCGCCACAAAGGCCUUGUUAUUCCGAUCUACGCCAAACAUGGCUAAGCCCUCAUGGACAGCAAAGGGACAUGGUGGAUCAAUGGGACAGCCAAGAUACGUGGUAGAACCUAACCGUAAUUUGCACGGGAGGAAGAACGACCACCACGGAUGACCGACGACGGCGGUGGCAAAACCCUAGGCCCUCUCCUCCUCUUCCCUCUUCUCCUUUCUCUCUUUCGUGAAUUUGGUAGGUAGGAUGGCGGCGGUUCGUGACCAGGUUGGGAGGAACAGGGAAAACACCGACUCGGAAAAGGGUCGGGCGUGGUACUGUACACCGUGGGUACUGUAGCACCGGCUACAGUAUUUUAUUUUUUAUUUUUUACCUUUUUUUUCUUUAUCUAUUUUCCCUCAGGCGUUAAGUCUACCCUCCUAAAAAAGAAUUCAUCCUCGAAUUCAGCUGCAUCUACGGUAUAAGCCAAGAUAACGGUAAACACACAUAUUUGCAUAAAACUCACCGGUGUCAAAUAGUUCAGGAUACUCCUUACGCAUCUGCUCCUCAAGCUCCCAAGUCGCUUCACGUUCAGGCUGAUUUGCCCAUAGAACUCUGACAUAUUUGAUAAUUCUUCUCCUUAGAACACGCUCUGAUGAUUCUAAAAUACGCACUGGCUCACACUUCACAGUCAAGUCCUGCUCCACAUGAAUAGGCUCUAAGUUGAUCUUAUGCUCGGGAUCUCGCAGAUACUUUCUCAACAUAGAAACAUGGAAGACAUUAUGAAUUCCCUUCAUAGACUCGGGCAACUGCAAGCGGUAAGCCAAGCUACCGACUCAGGCUAUGAUAUCAAAAGGUCCAAUGUACCUCGGGCUGAGCUUUCCCGUAGUACCAAACCGCACAACACCCUUAGUAGGCGAUACUCGAAGAAGAACUUGAUCACCCACUGCAAACUUGAGAUCUCGCCUUCGAACAUCUGCAUAGCUUUUCUGGCGGCUCUGAGCAGCCAACAUAUUCUGACGUAUUUCUGGUACCUUCUUAGUUGUCUGUUGAAUCCAAUCUGGACCAACUAAAGACCUCUCUCCUAGUGUUUCCCAACACAACGGUGAGAUACAUCUUCUACCAUACAAAGCCUCAUAUGGCGCCAUCUUUAUACUAGCUUGAUAGCUGUUAUUAUAAGCAAACUCAGCCAAAGCUAGAUGAUCCUCCCAACUUCCCCUCCAAGAAAGGACACAAGCACGCAACAUAUCCUCCAAAGUAUGGAUAGUGCGCUCAGACUGACCAUCAGUUUGAGGGUGAAAAGCAACACUCAUGUCAAGCUUCGUCCCUAAAGCGCUAUGCAAACUUUUCCAGAAAUUAGAAACAAAUUUGGAGUCUCGAUCAGAAACAAUAGACUUUGGUACUCCAUGUAGCCUCACUAUCUCCUUAAUAUACAAUGGGACCAAAUCUGCAGCAGAAUUCUUGGUGUUCAUUGGAAUAAAAUGAGCCAUCUUGGUGAGUCUAUCUACAACAACCCAAAUUGCAUCUUUACCCCGUGGAGAACGUGGCAAACCAACCACAAAGUCCAUAGUAAUAUAUUCCCACUUCCAUUCUGGAAUUUCUAGGGUUUUCGAUAAUCCUGCAGGCCUCUUGUGCUCAGCCUUCACUUGCUGGCACACACCGCAAGCUGCUACAUACUUGGAAACAUCGGCCUUCAUCCUCUUCCACCAAAAGCUCUGCUUCAGAUCUCUAUACAUCUUUGUCUCACCAGGAUGAACUGUGUAUGGAGUACGAUGAGCUUCUCUUAAGAUAUCUAUUAUUUUCACCUCUGAUUUCUGUGGCACACAAAGGCAUCCCCUAAAACAAACCGCAUCAUUCUGAUCAAUACUAAACUCACGAGGUUUGCCAUCACCAACACUCUUGCGAGCCUCCUGAAUCAAGCGAUCAUGCUUUUGAGCCUCACAGACCCUCUCAAGAAGGUUUGACUGAAUGAGCAACUGAGUCUCCUCUCUUGCUGCACCAAAAUAGCACAAGGAGACACCCAUACGAUUCAAAUCUGCAAUCAAGGGCAUUGCCACCUUAGGAACCCCAGUUCUACUAAGAGCAUCUGCCACCACAUUCGCCUUCCUAGGAUGAUACUGAAUAGUAAGGUCAUAAUUUUUUAUCAACUCAAGCCACCUACGCUGCCUCAACUUUAGCUCCUUCUGAGUAAAAAUAUAUUGAAGGCUCUUAUGAUCAGUAUAAAUAUCACAUGGCUCACCAUAUAGAUAAUGCCUCCAAGACUUCAGGGCAAACACCACAGCAGCCAACUCUAGAUCAUGGGUAGGAUAAUUUCUCUCAUGUUUCUUCAACUGCCUAGAGCCAUAAGCAAUCACUUUGCCAUCUUGCAUCAAUACACAACCAAGACCAACACAGGAUGCAUCUGUGUACACCGUGAAACACUUGCCACUCUCAGGUAAGGCCAAGAUAGGAGCAUUCACCAACUUAUCCUUUAAAGUAUGGAAACUGAUCUCACAAUCAUUGUUCCAUACAAAAGGAACACCCUUCUCAGUAAGCCUCGUCAUCGGCUUUGCAAUACUAGAGAAAUCCUGCACAAAACGCCGAUAAUAGCCAGCAAGACCAAGAAAACUGCGAAUCUCAGUCACUGUAGUAGGUCUCUGCCAAUUAACAACGCUAGCUACAUUCUUGGGAUCCACUGAAAUGCCAUGUUGAUUAAUAACAUGACCUAGAAAAGCCACUUCAGAGAGCCAAAAAAAGCGCACUUCUUCAAUUUCCCAUAAAAUUGAUUCUUCCGAAGGGCAUCAAGAACAAGGCUAAGAUGUAGCUCAUGCUCUUCCUCGGACUUAGAGUAAAUCAAGAUAUCGUCAAGGAAAACAACGACAAAAUCAUCCAAGUACUCAUGUAGCAUCCUAUUCAUAGCUUCCAUAAACACAGCAGGGGCAUUUGUUAGUCCAAAAGACAUAACAAUAUAUUCAUAAUGCCCAUACCUGGUGCUAAAAGUUGUCUUCUCUAUAUCUUCAUCCCGUAUUCUCAACUGAUGAUAGCCAGAAUUCAAGUCAAUCUUAGAGAAUACCUUGGCACCUCUCAAUUGCUCAAAGAGCACUUCAAUACACGGUAAAGGAUAUUUAUUCUUGAUGGUUACCCGAUUAAGAUCUCGAUAAUCCACACAUAACCUCUUAGUACCAUCCUUCUUCUCCACAAAUAGCAUAGGGAAAGCCCAAGGUGACUUGCUAGGUCUAAUAAAACCCUUAGCAAGAAGAUCAUCCAACUGCCUCUUCAACUCAACCUGCUCUUUUGGAGCCAUCCAAUAUGGAGUCUUAUGGAUUGGCUGCGUACCAGGAACCAACUUGAUUUCAAAAACUGCAUCACGCUCAGGAGGAAUACUUGGAAGUUCAGCAGGAAACACGUCAAGAUAAUGACACACCACUCGUAUGUCCUCCACUCUCAAGGCAACCUCACUACCAUCCACCAUAGAAAAGAGAAUUCCAGAUUUCCUAGUUCGACGAUCUGAGAACAACAGACAAAAUAGAGCAAGAGAGUACUUCAUAGCACUCCCAACAAAGAUCACCUCUCUACCAGAAGGUGCCUGCAAAGAUACUGUCUUCCAGAAACAAGAGAUAAUAGCCCGAUAUUGUGAAAGCCAAUCCAUGCCCAAAAUAACAUCAAAGGACUCAAGGGGAAUCACCACUAGAUUAGCAACAAAACCCUCCUCAGCUAGAAAAAUAUGGCAACCCGGACAAAUCAAAUGACUUGAUAUAGAGCCUUUAGCAGAACUAACCACAAUGGACUGACCAAUCUUCUGCAUAGAAAGGCCAGCACGAGCCACAAACCCUUUCGAGACAAACGAGAAACUAGCGCCAGAGUCAAAAAGAGCAUAUGCAUCAAAUGAAUCAACUAAUAUAGUACCUGUAACAACAUCUCCACACCUAGAGCCUGCUCCACAGUGGUGCGAAAAUCCACCAGUGGAAAGGCCCCCAAAGUGUGCCUGAUCGAUGGUUUCAAACCCUGACGAAACUGGAAUGCCUUCUCUACCUCAUUACGGGCCACAUGUGGAACAAAGCGAACAAUCUUGUUGAAGCCCACCUCAUACUCUGCCACUGUUUUCUUAUCCCAAAUAAGCGGUUUAAACCGCAAAACUUGAUCAGAUGAAGAGGAUUAAUAUUUGGCUUCUCACCUAGAGAACCACAGCGAGCACGACGCAAAAACUCUCGGUGUCUACUCCUUCUUCUCCGCCUCUUCACCUUUCCAUCAUCUCCGAUCCAACUCGCCACGAUCCUUGCCGCCACAAAGGCCUUGUUAUUCCGAUCUACGCCAAACAUGGCUAAGCCCUCAUGGACAGCAAAGGGACAUGGUGGAUCAAUGGGACAGCCAAGAUACGUGGUAGAACCUAACCGUAAUUUGCACGGGAGGAAGAACGACCACCACGGAUGACCGACGACGGUGGUGGCAAAACCCUAGGCCCUCUCCUCCUCUUCCCUCUUCUCCUUUCUCUCUUUCGUGAAUUUUGUAGGUAGGAUGGCGGCGGUUCGUGACCAGGUUGGGAGGAACACGGAAAACACCGACUCAGGGUAGGAGAAGGGUCGGGCGUGGUACUGUACACCGUGGGUACUGUAGCGACGACUACAGUAUUUUUAUUUUUUUUAUUUUUUACCUUUUUUUUCUUUAUCUAUUUUCCCUCAGGCGUUGCAGUUAAGAAACUAUUUUGGACGCACCCGAUGGUACUCCUAGGUCAAGGUGCUCAAGUGAAAGCCCGAUUUGGUCUGUUUGGAGAUAGUGCUAAUCUUGAUGCAAGAUAGAUGCACGGUUUGCAUGGAACAUACGAUAUGCUCAGAAAUCAAUUAGGACCUACCUGAUAUAAGUCCUUGAUAAUGUGUGUCAUAUGGAAUCUUGCUUUGGUUCGUUUAUAGAAAGUUUUAAUUUUGGUAGAAGAUAUGUGCACGGUUUACGCCUAAUGCACCAUAGGCUAAGAAACCAUUUUAGACGCACCCGAUGGUACUCGUAGUUGAAGAGGCUCAAGUGGAGGCUCGAUUUGGUCUGCUCGGAUAUAGUGUUAAUCUUUAUGCAAGAUAGUUGCACAGUUUGCAUGUAACGUACCAUAUGUUAAUAAAUCAAUUUGGACGCACCCAAUGGAACUCCUAGAUGAUGUGUGUCAUAUGGAAUCUCGCUUCGGUCUAUUUGGAGACAAUGUUAGUUUCAGUGCAAGAUAGGUGCAUAGUUUGUGCCUAAUGCACCAUAGUCUAAGAAACCAUUUUUGACGCACGUGUUUCUACUCCUAGAUGAAGAGGCUCAAGUGGAAGCUCGUUUCGGUCUAUUUGGAGACAGUGCUAGUCUUGAUGCAAGAUAGGUGCACGGUUUGCAUGGAACAUACCAUAUGCUUGGAAAUCAAUUUGGAUGCACCUGAUGGGACUCCUUGAUGACGUGUGUCAUAUGGAAUCUCGCUUUGGUCUAUUUAGAAACAGUGUUAGUUUCGGUGCAAAAUAUGUGCAUGGUUUGUGACUAAUGCACCAUAGUCUAAGAAACCAUUUUGGAAGCACCUGUUGGUACUUUGGUGAAGAGGCUCAAGUGGAAGCUCGGUUUGAUCUGUUUUGGAGAUAGUGCUAAUCUUGAUGCAAGAUAGGUGCAUGAUUUGCAAGGAACAUACCAUAUGCUUAGAAAUCAAUUUGGACGCACCCAAUGGAACUCCUAGAUGACGUGUGUCAUAAGGAAUCUUGCUUCCGUCCGUUUAUAGACAUUGUACGUUUUAGUGCAAGAUAGGUGCACAGUUUGCACCUAAUGCACCAUAGUCUAAGAAACCAUUUUGGACGCACUAUUUGGUACUCCU
This 6659-nucleotide long non-coding RNA is filed under the name Sorghum bicolor (sorghum). RNAcentral describes it as "long non-coding RNA (SBIC_LNC018552)". Lineage: Eukaryota; Viridiplantae; Streptophyta; Magnoliopsida; Poales; Poaceae. The record is from RNAcentral.